CCUACGGGAGGCAGCAGUGAGGAAUAUUGGUCAAUGGGCGCGAGCCUGAACCAGCCAAGUCGCGUGAGGGAGGACGGCCCUACGGGUUGUAAACCUCUUUUGCCGGGGAGCAACGGGCGUCACGUGUGGCGCCCCUGAGAGUACCCGGAGAAAAAGCCUCGGCUAACUCCGUGCCAGCAGCCGCGGUAAUUCGGAGGAUCCGAGCGUUAUCCGGCUUUAUUGGGUUUAAAGGGUGCGUAGGCGGCCUUUUAAGUCAGCGGUAAAAGUCUGUGGCUCAACCAUAGAAUUGCCGUUGAAACUGGGGGGCUGGAGUAUGUUUGAGGCAGGCGGAAUGCGUGGUGUAGCGGUGAAAUGCUUAGAUAUCACGCAGAACCCCGAUUGCGAAGGCAGCCUGCCAAGCCAUGACUGACGCUGAUGCACGAAAGCGUGGGGAUCAAACAGGAUUAGAUACCCGAGUAGUC
Molecule: ribosomal RNA, 461 nt
Filed under: uncultured bacterium
Lineage: Bacteria
Description: partial 16S ribosomal RNA
Rfam family: Bacterial small subunit ribosomal RNA
Source: RNAcentral